CAAUGAUUUAAGAUUUAGAUAUAAGAUAUAAAUCUUUAUUAGAA
This 44-nucleotide transfer RNA is filed under the name Jembrana sp. 6 QW-2021. RNAcentral's name for it is "partial tRNA-Leu". Lineage: Eukaryota; Metazoa; Arthropoda; Insecta; Hemiptera; Aphrophoridae. The record is from RNAcentral.